RNAcentral lists this long non-coding RNA (5859 nucleotides) under Homo sapiens (human). RNAcentral's name for it is "HSALNT0328425". The record is from RNAcentral. Lineage: Eukaryota; Metazoa; Chordata; Mammalia; Primates; Hominidae.
GGGGAAUGGGAUUCUUAGCAAGUUAUGGCGGUAAGACCCAAACCUUGCCAUUUUUUUUAUCCUAAUCUACAAUUCAUGUAUUGUUGUCUCAAGAUAAAAUCCACAUAAAGUUCCCCAUGAUUUUAAAGAGAUAAGAAACUCUUGGCUACCUCCUGAAAAAUAUGUUUGUUCUUGUUUCAUUUGUGGGUAUCUUAAUUCACCCCUUGAGCUCACAUGACAGAUAGGCUGGCUUUGCCACAAGAUUGACCAUUGUGCGAUUCUGUUUCACCUUAAAGGGUUAUUAUCCUUUUCCCAUAAAUUUUCACAGCAUUAAUCCAUCAAUUUUUGAUUUGGUAUUCAGGAAGCGAAUGUAGACCAUGAUGUAUUAUUUAUUCAGCAUAGAUUCCAGACAGCCAGUUCCUUAGAAAUCCAUGUCAUAAUACCAUAUUAUUAGUUUGGGAAUAAAGAGGGGAGUAGGAAUGGGUUUUAGAAAGAUCAGAAUUCAAUUUUAAAUGAUGCAGAGUUGUUUUAAAAUUAUAUGUCAAUACAGUGCAACUUUACAAUGAGCAGAAGGCAUGGCCUCCUGCUGUAGCAACCUGGAAAACACUUCACUCUCUACUUUAAGUUGUAGCUCAACCUACUGUUUCAUACGCUCUCAGAAUGCAAGAUUAAUUCACAGUCGAUUAAAAAUCACUGAGCACUACUCAACAAAGCACAUCAAUAAUUUUACUAAUUGUUCAAAUCAUUAAUCCUAAAGGAGCUCAUCAUGAUAGCUCCACUAAAAACAGACCUUCUACAACAGCGAAGCCAGCUGUUAACCAUUACUCUUACCCUUGUCCUGACCCAAAAUCAUCUCUUCUGUCUUCACCUGCCUUGGAAAUGCAACAUCUCCACUGAAUAUUUGAUUCAGACUUGGCUCUUUAAGAACAAUUUCUGUGCAAUAAGUAGCACAAUACAGGGAUAGGAAAACAGGUUUAUCCUACUAACUUGAUUUGAGCAAAUGAUUUAACUUCUAUGGAAGCCAGUCUCCUCAUUUGUAAAAUGAAGAGCAGUGGUGAAGGAUGUAGUUAUAUAAUGCAGGUAAAGUGCAAAGCCCCAAACCCAGCAUGUAUCAGGGACUUAACCUCAUCCAUUUGUUCACCAAUAUUUACUCUGAUAUUUAUUCAUCCCUCUGCUGUAAUUACUGUGCUAGACACUGAGGAUGCAGCAGUGAAUCAGGCAAGCAUCCUCCCCUCAUGGAGCUUACAGUCUUUUGGGGUAUACAAGCAGUAAAUAUGAUUACUGUAAAUAAACUGCUAUGAAGAAAAUAUGCCAGGGGUAUGCUAGUAACUGAGGAGAUGUGGCCUGCAUUGAACAGCAUGGUUUUGGGGAAGGUGAUCUGAGCCGAGACCUCUCAAAGAUAAAAUGCCCCUUUCUAGUGAAAAGUUGGGGAAUGGGCAAGCCAGGCAGAGAGAAUAAAAAGUGCAGAGGCUUAAAGACAGGAGAAACAUGUGGUAGCCCAGGAGCAGAAGGAGGCUGAGUGGCUACAGUGUUAUGAGAGAGUAAGCCAGGAGCGCCUGUGGGAAUUGGCACCAGAGAGGUCCUCAGAAGCCAGGUCUUCAAGGUCAUGGACACAUGGGAAGGAGGGAUUUGGAAUUUACUGCAAGAACAAUAGGCAGGGUUUCAAGAAGCCAGGGUCAGUUAUGGGCUGACUUGCAGUCUUCAAUGUGGAAAAUGUUUUGCUAUUGGCAAAGUGGCAAGGGGGAGGCCAGUUAGGACACUAUUGCAAUAGGCAAGGCAAGAGAUGAGAAAGGAUUGAAUGGGGGUAAGAGCAGAGAGAAGUGCGCAAGAUCCAGUGCAUGUGCUGAGGGAAGACCGGCAGGACUUGCGUAGUUAGAUGUCUGGGGAAGAAAGGAUUCAGGAUGACUCCCGUAUUUUAUAUGUCCGUAGUUUGCUCUCCAUUAUGAUAACAUCUCGGGCUCUUUACUUUUCAUGCCCUGCUUCAGGAUCUUCGCACCUGAUAUUUCCUCUGCACACAAUACUCCUCUAGAUGUUGGCAUUUCCUUCGAUAUCUUCUCAAAUGUCUCCUAAUCAUCCUAUAAAACAGCACCAACCCUCUAUCCCAAUCACUCUCCUUGCCUUAUUCAUCUUCAGAGCAUGUAACUACUUGACAUUGGUUGAUUUGUCUGUAAUUGUCUGAUUCCCACAGCAGAAAUUUCAGCUCCGUGACAGCAAAGGUUUUGUCUGUCUGUUCACUGUUACAGCCCCAUAACCUAAAACCAUGUGUGGCAUAUAUGUCUUGAAUGAAUUAAUGAGAAUACAAGUGAAUGAAUGAAAUGCUUUGUUGCUAUAGAUCUUGUCUAUAGAUGACUACCUUUCUGGUCAAGGCUUUGGACAUCUCUUCAGUCAUCAGACAGAGUAUCUCUGCUCUAGACCUCGCUGGAGUUCAAGCUUGAAUUAUUAUAUGCAAGUUAAUUUUACAAGCCUGGAUGAGGCUACUGAAAACUGGAAAAAAGCUACGAGACUGUAACAACCCUUCAUUCUUUUUCAUUUCCAAAGCUCUCUCCCCAUCUCAAGCUAGAAAAUAGUGUAACCAGACUACACAAUGGAACCACUCCUAAAAAAAUUAAUAUUAGCCUCUCAGCUUUUAUCUAAAUGUACCACAGUUUAAGAGCCUUGUAAAAUUUGUUCCACAACUUUACUAUAGGAAACCUUAUUAUAGAAGGGACACCACAGAACUCAAUGGCCCACACAUCAAAGUCCUCGAGUUUAGGACUGAAGAAAAGUCUGCUUUUGUAGAAAAUGUGUAUGCUUCAUGUUCUCUUUUACCAGACAAUGAGAAUAACUCAUACUGAUUCCUCAUUUUUCCUUGACUUCCAGGAAUGUCUGUGAUAAAUUCAGGGGACAAUUGCGAGAAUUAUCCUCAGCCAUAAGUCCCUCACAUGGUUAUCACCUGUCCAUUAUGUAUCUUUUUGUCCUUCAUUUUAACAUUUCUUUUAUACAUGGAUCUUAAAGCUGCCUGAAAUUCUUUCUGAAGGUAGAUGGUUACAUAAUAAGUGACAGGGAACCAUGAACUUGGAUGGUUUAUAAAGAACCUAGAUUCCGGACCUGCCUCUUUAGCAACAGCUGGAUGACCACUUCAGUCAUUUAUACCUCAGUGCCCACUUUUAACAUCCUUAAACAAGGACUAAUUGUCUCAAGUAAUUUUCUUCAAGUCCUAAGGUUUUUACUGGCAGAGCUAAGACCUCUUAACGUGUCUGAGAAGAGGCACAGUUUUCACUAGUUUAAUUGCAACUGAUUUAUGCUGCUGUCAACACCAUAGCAUCCAAAAAUAACUUCUAAAUGACAAUCCAUUUCUAACUCACCACACCCUCAAAGUAUUUUGUCUACCCCAUAUUAAUUAGCUAAUUUUCAUUUAUGUUUAAAAAUAUAUAUAUAGAUUUUUUUUUUUUACCUCUUCAAGCCGUGUUCUUGUGGAGAAUUGAUUUGUUGUACCCAUUACCAUGUGGGCUAUGGAAGAUGAGCCAAGUUCAAACCUAGAGAGGGAAAUAUUCAAAAACGGGUUGUGAAAUACUUAUUCAUUUAACAUAUAUUUUAAGGGCCUCCUAUAUAUAAUAGCUUUCAGCUAAAAACUGAUCGGUGUGAAAAAUACAAAAUAUGAUGUCUAUCCAAUGGGUUAAGAUCUAGCUGUAAAGAAUAAUACACACCAACAGCCUAAUAAAAGGUUAAGUAUCCAACAGAAAAUGACAGAAGCAGGAAAUGCUAUAAGAGUUAGACAAAGACAGAUGUGAACAAGCAAAUGUGUUCAUGGAAGGCCUGGGCUGAACUGUGAGGAGGAAGGCUUCAGAUAUGUCCAUGGGCUCAGGAAGGGGUUAUGCCAGAUGGAAUGGAAAACAUCCCUGUCCAGAUUCACUAGUUAGCACUGAAGUCCAGUUUUAUGUUUUCUACAAAUAUUUUAGGUAUUUCUACUGCCUAUCUUCAAUCAAAAAGUACCUUUAGACUGUUACUGUUCUUUUACAAACAGCAAGGCUAAAACACAGUAAGGUUAUGAACUUAUCCAGUCACAGCACAAUUUUUGGCACCACUUACUUUUGUACAAGUUUGUUCCAGUUUUUCCUCAGAAAUUGCCAGGCCAGUGGGUAUCCUACUGGGUUCCUGCCAAUGAGUGUAAGAAUUUGUGGAAACUCCUGAGUUUUUAUUUUAUCUCCCUUAAAGCUUUCAUCUAGUAGCCUAGAAGGAUUAAGAAAAGAAAUGUUAGCAAUGAAUAGGUGAUGAAACAGUUAUGAAUCACUGCAAUAAAAUUACUUGUAAAAGAAAAAAAAGUCUGCCAGUAACAAAGGUUAAAAAGAUAAAUGGGUAACCACAAUCCUGAUAAACCCACUAUAGCUACAUAAUAAAAACUAACAUUUAUAUAGUGUUCAUAACACCCAUUCUCAUAUACCCUCUCAUUUGCUCAAAAGAAUAGUUAAGGAAGAGUAGCUCUAGUAAAUAUUUUUAAUAUGUUGUCAUUUUAAAGAUGCACAAAUGUAUACACCUUUAAAUAUUUUUCCUAACACCUGGUUCUCCCUAAUUAUUUGCCUUUCUCAUUAGAUGUGUGCUGACUUGCAGUAUGUUCCCAGCAGGAUAGGCAAUUCCUGGCCAAGAAAACAAAAAUAGAUGCCAGAAUGAUCUAAUCUAAUCUAAUUUCCCUUGGCCACAUGAACAUGAAUGAAUGACGGACUCACCAUUGAAGCUUUUCCUUAUUUUGGGUUCUGCAGAGGGCAAAUUCAAUUUGGCUUUUCUCAGUACUGGACAAAGAAAACUGAUAUUUACUAUAAAGAAAAUCCCAGCCUUCUGUGCUCUGGGCCCCCACAGCAAACACUGCCAAGGUCACGUCGACAGGCAGGCUAUAGAAAGGAACACACUCGGAGGCCCAGUAUGGUGGUGAGAAGAACCAGAAGGCACUCAAAAUUUAGGCCAGAAGGAUACGGGUAUGAGGAGAAAGAGAUAAUCCUUCCCACCUGCAUGCUUCCUCUUAGGACUUUAGGUCUGCCUACAUGUUGAAGAAGUUUGAGUUUUAGGCUUUGGGAGCAUUUCCUUAAAAACCAUUGUCAUGGGGGAGGAAAAAAAAAGGGUAGUGUUAAUUCUGUCUUCACACACUCAGAGAUCAUUUGGUUGGGCUACAUUUUAUGAGCUAUAUUCCAUAAAGAUGCUGCAAAGUUCAGGUAUCUGGUUUAGGAAAGAAAAAAAAAUCCCUUCUUUAACCCAAGAAAUGUAAUGCAAACAACUUGGGCCUGUGUCACUUAGUCUUCUAAGAAGACUUCAAGGCUGUUAUAAAGACCCAGUGGUGGGAGAAACCUGAUCCGGUAUAGCGGGGCCAGAAGAAGCUGCGGGACCAUGCCGCGGGGACAAGGCAAGGAGUUUCGCCAGGAUGUUGAUCUCCUGGUUAUCUACACUUCCGCCUCAGUAUGAUCUGAAUUAUUAAUGAGAAAGAUUAAGAUACAGAUUCCUUCCUUCAAGUGCCUUAGUAGUCACAGACAGGAGGUUAAUUAUAAGACUAAAAGCAAUCUUGGGUUGUUAGAAGAACUUAAAGGAAAACACCUUUCAACUUCUUGUUAUCAAUCAAUCAUUUUUGUCUUUAGAAAUCAAGAAUUUGAACAAUAACAGCUGCUUUCAGAAAUAAACCGCGACUUUGUGCAGCGUGUAUUACCUGACGAGCUGAAAUGCAUUGUUAAUGAGACUCGCCCGAUCAUUACUGCUGACUGCUGUGUGUGUUCCUUUUAAAAGGCCAGUCAAAGAGUCCCAUCCAUCAUCCUCGUAAUGCACAAUGUAAUAGCCAUUCAUGCCCACAUUAAAUUUGAUCCAUUCCACCUCUUCUGGGAGGAUGAGCACAUCUAGAGUAAAUAAAAUAAAUCAAAGUUC